Long non-coding RNA from Camelus dromedarius (Arabian camel), 1140 nucleotides. RefSeq lists it as uncharacterized. Lineage: Eukaryota; Metazoa; Chordata; Mammalia; Artiodactyla; Camelidae. The record is from RefSeq and is a predicted model, not a curated record. The transcript is spliced from 3 exons.
UCCCACUGGAGAGCUUCCUUCAUUCUCUACAAAUCCCGGGCCAUGUGUGUGCAUAGGAAGUCUUCCUGUAUGCUAAGGAAAACCAGCUUUUAGUGAGAAAGAGACACACAGUGCCAUUUUGCCCUCACGGGUUGUCCUUUGUCCUUUGUCUCUCCCACAUCACACCUGUCCUCCCUUUUCAAUCACUGGCCUUGCUGACUGCAGUCUCAGCACCAGAUGCAGAAGACACAGGUUUACACAGACUGCUUAACUGGCUUCUUUGAUUGCAAAAGACCCAAUCCCCAUAGUCAAUCUUUUAUUCUAAGUCACUCCUAGUGAUCAUCUUCCCUGAUCCCUGAUCAAAUUCUAACUGAUAUAAUUCCCAUUUCCACAGAGGUCCCAGAAGGCACACUGGAAAAAGAGAAUGAAGGAAAUGAUUAAUCACAUAAGGCCUCUGGAGGAAUGGGAGAAUAUCUCAGAGAAUUCAGGGACAAGAUACAGUUCUUUCAAUGAAAUGCAUAAAGAUUGAUGCCAUGGAAACUACAAUGGCUAGUGUCAACUGAAAUGAGUCUGAGACCUACGUCCACAGUGCUGCACGGAUCCCAAAUCAAUGAGCAAGAGGAAAUUUGGGAAGACACAGGGUUUAUUGGAAGAUGAACAGUUGCAUUAUCAUUUGAUGGCAGGAAGAAUCAGUAACAGACUUCCUUCUGCUGUGCCCGCGUCUCUCACCACAGCCCCAAGGCUGGGAUUCUUACAGAAGCAAGGCUUCCUUUCAAGGCACCCAGGGCCCUAUCGACGUAUCACUUAUCCUUCUUAAUCACUGCAGCAUCAGGGGAAAGUGAGGCCUGACAACCCUCUGAUCAUUGCUAAACAUAUCGAAUGUAGUUGAAAUCAAACGGUUGUACCAAAGUCACGCGUUACUGAGCAGUGGUUUAAAAACGUUUGGACCUGCUGUGAGAACCUCCUCAAAAUCCCACAGACUCCUCCAUGGAAUUGCUUAAGGCCUUGAUCAACAAAUUUUGAAGACCACCAGGUCACGGCCAGAAGGAUGAAACUUACAGGACGUCUGAGCCCUACUGGGAGAACUGGGGCCAAGUAAGAGUUGAUGGAAGCAGGACCUUCAGCGUUUGCCUGUUCACCUCAAGGGAAGGAGAGAGUGUG